UUAUAUGAGAGUUUGAUCCUGGCUCAGGACGAACGCUGGCGGCGUGCCUAAUACAUGCAAGUCGAACGCACAGAUAUUAACAGAAGCUGCUUGCAGUGGAAGUUAAUUGAUGUGAGUGGCGGACGGGUGAGUAACACGUGGGUAACCUACCCAAAAGU
This 158-nucleotide ribosomal RNA is filed under the name Loigolactobacillus backii. RNAcentral's name for it is "partial 16S ribosomal RNA". It matches the Rfam family "Bacterial small subunit ribosomal RNA", at positions 1 to 137 of the family's 1533-position model. The record is from RNAcentral. Lineage: Bacteria; Bacillati; Bacillota; Bacilli; Lactobacillales; Lactobacillaceae.